AGAGUUUGAUCCUGGCUCAGAACGAACGCUGGCGGCGUGGAUAAGACAUGCAAGUCGAACGCUGAUUUCAGGGUAGCAAUAUUCUGAAGUCGGAGUGGCGCAAGGGUGCGUAACACGUGGGCAAUCUACCGUGAAGUUGGGAAUAACUUGCUGAAAGGCAAGCUAAUACCGAAUGUGAAAAUUAGGAGGCAUCUCUGGAUUUUCAAAGUUAGGGACCGUAAGGCCUGACGCUUCACGAUGAGCCCGCGGCCUAUCAGCUAGUUGGUGAGGUAACGGCUCACCAAGGCUUAGACGGGUAGCUGGUCUGAGAGGACGACCAGCCUCACUGGAACUGAGACACGGUCCAGACACCUACGGGUGGCAGCAGUCGAGAAUUUUUCACAAUGGGCGAAAGCCUGAUGGAGCGACGCCGCGUGGGGGAUGAAGGGCUUCGGCCCGUAAACCCCUGUCAUUUGCGAACAAACCUUUCCGCCUAACAUGCGGAGAGCUGAUUGUAGCGAAAGAGGAAGGGACGGCUAACUCUGUGCCAGCAGCCGCGGUAAUACAGAGGUCUCAAGCGUUGUUCGGAUUCACUGGGCGUAAAGGGUGCGUAGGUGGUUGGGUAAGUCUAAUGUGAAAUCUCCGAGCUCAACUCGGAAAUGGCAUUGGAUACUAUCCGGCUGGAGGGUUGGAGGGGGGACUGGAAUUCUCGGUGUAGCAGUGAAAUGCGUAGAUAUCGAGAGGAACACCAGUGGCGAAGGCGAGUCCCUGGACAACAUCUGACACUGAGGCACGAAAGCUAGGGGAGCAAACAGGAUUAGAUACCCUGGUAGUCG
RNAcentral lists this ribosomal RNA (815 nucleotides) under uncultured bacterium. RNAcentral describes it as "bacterial SSU rRNA". It matches the Rfam family "Bacterial small subunit ribosomal RNA", at positions 8 to 796 of the family's 1533-position model. The record is from RNAcentral.